Molecule: ribosomal RNA, 465 nt
Filed under: Vreelandella stevensii
Lineage: Bacteria; Pseudomonadati; Pseudomonadota; Gammaproteobacteria; Oceanospirillales; Halomonadaceae
Description: partial 16S ribosomal RNA
Rfam family: Bacterial small subunit ribosomal RNA
Source: RNAcentral
CCUACGGGUGGCUGCAGUGGGGAAUAUUGGACAAUGGGGGGAACCCUGAUCCAGCCAUGCCGCGUGUGUGAAGAAGGCCCUCGGGUUGUAAAGCACUUUCAGUGAGGAAGAACGCCUGGUGGUUAAUACCCAUCAGGAAAGACAUCACUCACAGAAGAAGCACCGGCUAACUCCGUGCCAGCAGCCGCGGUAAUACGGAGGGUGCGAGUGUUAAUCGGAAUUACUGGGCGUAAAGCGCGCGUAGGUGGCUUGAUAAGCCGGUUGUGAAAGCCCCGGGCUCAACCUGGGAACGGCAUCCGGAACUGUCAAGCUAGAGUGCAGGAGAGGAAGGUAGAAUUCCCGGUGUAGCGGUGAAAUGCGUAGAGAUCGGGAGGAAUACCAGUGGCGAAGGCGGCCUUCUGGACUGACACUGACACUGAGGUGCGAAAGCGUGGGUAGCAAACAGGAUUAGAUACCCCAGUAGUC